This 440-nucleotide ribosomal RNA is filed under the name uncultured bacterium. RNAcentral's name for it is "partial 16S ribosomal RNA". It matches the Rfam family "Bacterial small subunit ribosomal RNA", at positions 338 to 795 of the family's 1533-position model. The record is from RNAcentral.
CCUACGGGAGGCAGCAGUGGGGAAUAUUGCACAAUGGGGGAAACCCUGAUGCAGCGACGCCGCGUGAGUGAAGAAGGAUUUCGGUAUGUAAAGCUCUAUCAGCCGGGAAGAAAAUGACGGUACCUGAUUAAGAAGCCCCGGCUAACUACGAGCCAGCAGCAGCGGAAAUACGUAGGGGGCGAGCGUUAUCCGGAUUUACUGGGUGUAAAGGGAGCGUAGACGGCAGCACAAGUCUGGAGUGAAAUGCCGGGGCUUAACCCCGGAACUGCUUUGGAGACUGUGCAGCUUGAGUGCAGGUGAGGGAGGUGGAAUUCCUGGUGUAGCGGUGAAAUGCGUAGAUAUUAGGAGGAACACCAGUGGCGAAGGCGGCUUACUAGACUGUAACUGACGUUGAUGCUCGAAAGCGUGGGGAGCAAACAGGAUUAGAUACCCCAGUAGUC